UUUUUUUAUUUUAAGACGGGAUCUCACUGAGUUGCUUAGGGCCUCACUAAGUUGCUGAGGUUGGCUUCUAUCUUGUGAUCCUCCUGCCUCAGCUUCUUGAGCUGCUGGGAUUAUAGACAUGUGCUGUUGCUCCCAGCUUCCCCUUUAGUUUAGCUCUUGAUAUGUAGAUGUCUCUUUUUAACCGUUUUCCCUAAAUAAAUAGCCACAUAUGUACACCAAACAAAAUAAAUAAAUAUACACAAA
This 243-nucleotide long non-coding RNA is filed under the name Marmota monax (woodchuck). Lineage: Eukaryota; Metazoa; Chordata; Mammalia; Rodentia; Sciuridae. The record is from RNAcentral.